AAGUGAAAUAUCUCGCUGCGCUCGAUGUGAAAUAAUUUGCGCGAGCGCAAAUUGUGAAAUAUUGCUCCUGCGUCGCAAUGUGAAAUAAAAU
RNAcentral lists this non-coding RNA (91 nucleotides) under unclassified sequences. Its description in RNAcentral is "Gut-1 RNA". It matches the Rfam family "Gut-1 RNA". RNAcentral also lists the same sequence under 1 other name. The record is from RNAcentral.